GCCUGCGCUCUAGAACCAUUUAUUGGGGGACAACGGAAACAGAGAUGUGUGAUGGUGGCUGGAUGGAUGGGGGGGCGCUCGGCGCCCUGAGGGUCUGGGCAGCCACCAGCCUGGGAGCGGUGUGUAAGGCACAUGGCCAGGCCGGGGCACUGGGCAAUGUCCUGGCCUGUGACGAGUGGGGGGCACCGCUCUGACACCCCCAGCCUGUGGUCCCACAGCCCCCCAGGGCUCGGGGCCAGCCCGGCAGGGGGAUGCAGCCUGGCCAACCCCCUGGCAGAGACCCAGCCCCACCAGCUCUUUGGUGCUCCCCGGGGAUCCCGGGGGGGAGUUUGUGUCCCCUGGCCAGGGGGGCACUGGGGAAGGGCUUGGGUGGUGCCUGGGACCCCCAUGCCAAAGUGGGUGUGGCUCAGAAGGACGUUUCCUGCACAGCAUAGGCAGGGGCCCCGGCUGCACGGAUGUAGCCCUGUCCUUCCUCCUCUUCCUGCCGCCCGAGGCCGGGGUGGGGCAAACCGUUGGGCACCCCUUUGGUCUUCGCCACUGCAUCCACAGUGUCGGUGUUCUGUGGGGACAGAGCAGGGGGUAGCAAGAAGACGACCCCAUGUUGUCCCCCCCAUCAGGCAAGGUGCUGGGGUCUGUGCCCCUCACCUGGUCAGGGAAGCCCACCCCACAGCAGAGCCUCUGCUUGUACUUCUGGGGCAGGCAGCAGAGCAGGUGAGGCAGCACGGGGUAGAUGGUUCGGGGGUCCACAGAUGCUGCCGGUGUGGGGCCUGGCGGGCAGAAUGGGGGGUGAGCAGGAGGGAAGGGGGCCCACCAGCAGCCCCCCACCACGCCACACUCACCGGUGAGCAGGCUGACCAGGAGCCCCACCACAAUGACGGUGGUGGAGUUGUGGGCACUGUACCACAUGUAGGACAGGCUGUAGAACUUCUGCAGCCCUGUGGGGCUGGGGAAGGUGGGUGUGAGUUGGGGGACAUGGAGCAGCACCCCCCAUCCCGCAGCACCCUGUCCCCAAGCCCCCCCCACCCCGCUCACCUCUUAGGGGCCUCCGUGGGGGCCAACAGGGUGGUGGCGAGGAUGGUGGUGAGGUUGCCCAUGGCGGGGAGCACAGUGCUGUUGGGUGGGGGGGUCCCUGCAGCUGCCCCCAUGCUGUGCAUCAGGCUGCCAAUGCCCACCCAGAAAGCCAUGGCCAGGCCAGCCAGCAGCCCCACGACAGCACCCUGCACCAGGGGACAGGGAGACUGCUGACCCCCAGACAGGCUUGGGGUGCCCCAGUCCCCCAGCACUGCCCCAUUCCAUGGGGUACAUGCCUCUGGCCAGGCAGGGGGACACUCACCGUGGGGUUGGCACAGGGAAAGAACAUGCCGAGGCAGAAGAGCCCCAGGAGUGGGCCCCCGACCAUGCCGAAGAUGCUGAUGGCAGCCUGUGGGGAUACAGUCCUCAGCACCAGUCCCUGCUGUGUGCUGGAGAUGGGGGGGACCCCUACACCCCCACCCUUACUUGCAGCACAGGGCCCAGCAUGGAGGACACGUAGGCCAUCCCCAGGCAUAGCAAUCCAUAACCAAGAGCUGGAAAGAGCAGACCAGAGGGGUCACAGUGGCACUGGGGACACCCCUGCCACCAGCACCAGCCCCCCCAUGCCACCCCCCGCUCACCCAGCAGCUUGGAGAGCAGCGUGGCCUGUGCCUCUGACAGCCGUGGGCAGUGCGGCCGGACCAGGUCCUCCAUCGUCACCGUGGCCAGCGAGUUGAAGGCGGAAGAGAUAGUGCUGGGGAGGAGAGGGAGAUGUUGGGUGCUUGGCUGGGGCCCCUCCAGCCCCAGGAUCCCCUCAGCUCACCUGAGGGACCCGCUGAAAAGGCAGGCGACGAAGAGCCCAGGCAGCCCCGGCAGGUCCUUCAGCACAUCCAUCACAAAGUACAGCACCAGCUGGGGAAGGAGAGUCAGUGCCCAUGGGGCUGGGAGGAUUGGGCGGGGCUGGGGAGGGGGGUCCAUCCCCACAGGCUGCAAGAGAUGGGGAACCCGGUGCCCACCUGGUCAGACGACCUGGGGCGGUUGCCGGGUGCCAGCGUGUGCUCCCGGUCAUAGACGAACAUGACGAGGCCAGUGAGGCAGCUGAGGCAGAGGACGAUCUGCUGGCAGGGGAACACGGCGUAGCAGGAGCUGCGGGUGCCGGGCCGGCGUUAGAGUCGGGGUGGGUGGCAGCGGGGGGACCCAUCCCGGCCACGGGAUCCCCAGCCCUGGCCCCACUCACAGCUUGGCCUCCCGCUCGCUGCGGGAGCUGAGGUACCGCUGCACCUGCGCCUGGUUCACCCCGUACAGCGACAGCAUCAUGAAGACUCCCCCCACAGCCAGGGUCCAGAAGGUGUGCCGCUCAAAGGGGUCAGGGUUCAGGCUGCAGAGAGGCACCAGCGGUGGGUGAUGGCACCAGGUCCUCACUGGCACCCCACACGCCAUGCCAUGGGAGCAGAUGGGGUCCCUCUUCCCCACCCUUCCUGGCUGCCCCACAGCGUGAGGUGGGGCACCCGGCCCCUGGUGGGUGAAGGCACCUUGGCACAGGACACACUGGGGCUGUGGCACUCACUCGAUGCCAGAGAUCUUGCCCUCCUGCUCAGCCAGGUGCCAGACACGGGCCAUGCCACCCACCCGCUGGGCGCCCACCACGAUGACGGCCAGCUGCCCCGCGAACAUCACCAGUGUCUGGAAGACGUCGGUCCAGAUGACAGCCUUCAGCCCGCCCUGCAGAGGCACAGUGCCCAUCACCACAGCCCGGCACAGGGCACCCCACAGCCGGGCAGUGGUGGUGGGAUGGCACUCACCAAUGUAGUGUACAGCGUGCAGACCAGCCCCAUGGUGAGCACUGCGCUCCAGAGGUCAAAGCCUGUCACUAGAAGUGAUGGAGGCCAUUAACAGGUUGCACCCUCACGCAGGAUGGGGCUUCCAGCAUCGCCCCCCUGCUCCUCUCCUCCUUACCUGCAUUGAGAGCCAGUGCGGGCGCAUAGAGUACCACCCCCAUGUAGAUGACCUGCAGGGAGAGCAGUGCUACAGCCAUACAUGGCCCCCCUCCACAUCCCACAACCCCCCCACCCCACUCACCAUCUGGAAGAUGAAGGUGAUGGUGCCAAAGACCCGCACUGUCUUGUUGAAGCGCAGCUCCAGGUACUCAUAGGUGCUGGUGAUACGCAGACGGUAGAAGACGGGGAUGAAGAUGUGUGCUGGGAUGAGCAGUCCCAAGAAGUAGGAGCAGCCGAGGAACCAGUACUCGGUGCCGAAAUGGUAGAUCUCGGCUGGCACGCCCAGGAUUGCCACUGCCGACUGGAAGGUGGCGAGCAGUGAGAGGGCGACGGGCAGAAAGCCCAUGUUGCGGUUAGCCAGGAGGAACUCCUGCACCGUGCGCUGCCGGUCCCCGCUCAGUGCAUAGAAGAGCCCGAUGGCUGAUGACAGCAACAGCAGCAGCGCAAAGAUGCUGUAGUCGAUCACUGUGAACUCCAUGGUGAGUGUCUCCUCUUGCCUCUGCCCCGCCAGAACCACCGCUGCCCGGCGACCCGCCCUGGCUGUGCCCUGCCGGCCUCAUGGGCACACCGAGCCCCGGUGGCCACCCCAGCAGCACGUCCUGGCCAGCAUCUCCCCGGCGCUUGGAGC
Molecule: long non-coding RNA, 3636 nt
Organism: Strigops habroptila (Kakapo)
Lineage: Eukaryota; Metazoa; Chordata; Aves; Psittaciformes; Psittacidae
Source: Ensembl